Molecule: ribosomal RNA, 253 nt
Filed under: uncultured bacterium
Lineage: Bacteria
Description: partial 16S ribosomal RNA
Rfam family: Bacterial small subunit ribosomal RNA
Source: RNAcentral
UACGGGGGGGGCAAGCGUUGUUCGGAAUUACUGGGCGUAAAGGGCUCGUAGGCGGCCAACUAAGUCAGACGUGAAAUCCCUCGGCUUAACCGGGGAACUGCGUCUGAUACUGGAUGGCUUGAGGUUGGGAGAGGGAUGCGGAAUUCCAGGUGUAGCGGUGAAAUGCGUAGAUAUCUGGAGGAACACCGGUGGCGAAGGCGGGUCUCUGGGCCGAUACUGACGCUGAGGAGCGAAAGCGUGGGGAGCAAACAGG